AGUCAUGUACUAUAGCCCCAACCAUUGUGCAGAUGGCUGGUUUUAGUUCCAACCAGCUAGCACUUCUCCUGUCCCUUGUUAUUGCUGCCAUGAAUGCCGCUGGAACAGUUCUUGGCAUUUACCUUAUUGAUCAUUUCGGGAGGAAAAGGUUGGCCAUCUCAAGCUUAGCUGGUGUAAUUGCAUCACUUUUCAUUCUUGCUGGAGCAUUUUUUGGCAAGUCAUCUGGUUCUUCAAAUGAACUCUAUGGGUGGAUUGCAGUUUUGGGGUUAGCCCUGUGUAUUGCUUGCUUCUCACCAGGAAUGGGACCUGUUCCAUGGACUGUGAACUCAGAGAUAUAUCCCGAACAAUAUCGAGGAAUAUGCGGGGGCAUGUCAGCUACUGUUAACUGGAUCUCCAAUCUGAUAGUAGCCCAAACUUUCCUUUCAAUUGCCGAAGCAGUAGGAACAGGUUCGACUUUCUUGAUGCUUGCGGGCACAGCAGUGCUCGCAGUUGUGUUUGUGAUUAUGUAUGUCCCAGAGACCAUGGGGCUGGCAUUUGUUGAAGUUGAGCAGAUAGGGAAGGAGAGGGCAUGGGGCAGUAGUUACAACACAGAAAGCCUUCUUGAUCAAGGAAACGACAAAUGAGUCUUAGUAGGUGCCGUGCGCACUUGCUGAGCUUGAUAAUAUCAGCGCCAAAUUGUAGGUUUAUAAAACAGUCUGUAUGAAGAUCCUUUGAAUUCAACCCCACUGCAUGAGCAGAAGCCCACUUUAUGUAAAAUUAUUUAAAAAAUAUUUUGAAAAAAAUAUUUUAAAAAGUAAUUAUUGAAAAGUAAUCGUUACCUUCCCGCCACUCUAAGCCUGGAGUAACAGGUUUCAGUGAAACCAUGGAAAUGAUGAAAUUGACAGCACUGUGUUUUUGACUUGCAUUAAACCUUACACAUUACAUGUUAUUUGAUUUCAGAUAUUGGAUGAAUAUUGUCAUCAAUCAAACCAUAAAAACAUGACUGGUAGUUGAAGUUCAGUGUAGAAGCCAUCUACCUUCCAUCUAUCUUCCCUUUCAAUGGCAUACGUAAGCCAAUACGUAUAAAAAUUGUUGUAUUUAAAAAAAGAUUGAAUUUAUUUUAUUUUAUUUUUUAUUUUAUUUUUAUUAUAUUUUUAUUAUAUUUUUUUUAUUUUUUUUAAAUGUCUCUAAAAAAAAUAAAUAGGUGUUUUGAGAAGGUUAAUUUUAAAUUUAAAUUUUUUAUUUUAGAAUCGUAAAUCAAAAGAGUUGGCAUCUAUUUAUUUUUUUUACUAUUUUUAAAAUUGUAAUUUUAUUUAAAAUUUAAUUAUUGAUACUUAAAAUGGUUCAAAACAUGAAAUUUUAUUAAAAAUUUUAAAUUUAAUUUAAUUUAAAGGAUUUCACACAUCUUUAUAACGAAAAUUGUACUCCUUUCUCUCACGUAAGUGAAAUUCAUAAAAAAAAAAAAAUCUAGGAAAUACAACAUUAUGAUCAUCACAUCAGCAGUGGUUCUUUCGGACCACACAAUUUGGACGCAAAAGGCAUACAUAAAUGCAGGCAGGAGCACUCCUACACGAGAAUGAAAAGCACAAAGACUGGUUUUGUUAAUUAGAGAAAUGGAGAAGCAAGAAAGAAUCUGUCAUGUAGCGGUCAUACCUUAUCCUGCUCAAGGUCACAUUAACCCCAUGAUCCAGUUCUCCAAGCAACUAGCCUCCAAAGGACUCCAAGUAACACUGGUCAUCUUCUCAAGCCAGACGCUCUCGACGCCUGCAUCGCUUGGCUCAGUCAAAGUGGUGACCGUUUCUGAUAGUUCUGAUACAGGCAGCAGUUCCAUAGGUGACCUUCUAAAACAAUUCCAAGCUACAGUGGCACCAAAACUGCCACAACUCGUUGUAGAACUAGGUAUCUCUUCUGGGCAUCCAGUAAGUUGCCUAGUGUAUGACUCAUUCAUGCCUUGGGUUCUAGAGAUAGCUAGACAGCUUGGCCUCAUUGGGGCUUCCUUCUUCACACAGUCAUGUGCUGUUAGCUCUGUCUACUACCAAAUCCAUGAGGGGCAGCUAAAGAUUCCACUAGAGAAGUUUCCUGUAUCAGUUCCAGGGCUGCCACCUCUAGACGUUGAUGAACUGCCAUCAUUCGUGCACGACAUGGAAUCAGAAUACUCAUCUAUACUUACCGUAGUAGUCAAUCAGUUUUUGAAUUUCAGGGGAGCUGAUUGGGUCUUUGUGAACAGUUUCAACACCCUGGAGGAGGAGGUACCCUUGAAGAAGUUACAUAAAGAAAAGUAGCAGUACUUCGAAUUCUUAAUUGAAUUCUUUUUUCUCUGCUCAUACUAAUAGAUAUUACCAUAUUUGCAAAGUAUGCUGCCUUCAAUUCUAUGGCACUCAAGAUUUUGCUUAUUUGUAUCAGGUGGUAAACUGCCUGGCAAGCCAGAGGUCAAUCAAGCCAAUAGGACCCAUGAUUCCAUCAGUUUACUUGGACAGGCAGCUAGAGGAUGACACGGAGUAUGGCCUCAGCCUCUUCAAACCUGCUCUCGACGGUUGCAUGCAAUGGCUAGAGUCAAAGGAAACUGGCUCCGUGGUUUACGUGUCAUUUGGAAGCAUGGCUGCUCUGGGAGAAGAGCAAAUGGCAGAAAUAGCUUGGGGCCUAAGGAGGAGCGACUGCUACUUCUUGUGGGUAGUCAGAGAAUCGGAAGAGAAAAAACUUCCAUGCAACUUUGUGGAGGGGUCCUCAGAGAAGGGUCUGAUUGUGACCUGGAGCCCUCAGCUAGAGGUUCUGUCUCACAAGUCUGUUGGUUGCUUCAUGACUCAUUGCGGGUGGAACUCGACGCUUGAAGCGUUGAGCUUAGGAGUGCCAAUGGUGGCAGUGCCACAGUGGACUGAUCAACCAACAAAUGCGAAGUACAUAGCAGAUGUUUGGCGUGUAGGAGUUAGAGUGAAGGCAAAUGAAAAGGGGAUUGUCACAAAGGAAGAGUUAGAAAAGUGUACGAGGGAAGUCAUGGAAGGUGAAAGAGGGAGUGAGAUGAGAAGGAAUUCUGAGAAAUGGAAGAAACUAGCCAAAACAGCCAUGGGUGAAGGUGGAAGCUCUGAUAAGAAUAUUACGGAAUUUGCAGCAAAAAUUGCUAGCAAGUUCAAUGAAACCACAGAUUCAAAAGCGUGAAAGCUAUGCAUGGCUUUAAAACUUGGAAAAAUGCUUCUUCUCCAUCAAUUUAUUUUACAAGAUUCGAUGAUAGUUGUCAUAUGAAGUAUGAACUAUAAAAUACAAGAUCCAAAUCAUGUUUUCAUGAUGAAAGAAAUAAUAUCAUGUUACUCCAUUUCAAUCUCUUUUCUUCUUCUUAUUUUUUAGAAAAAAAUCAAUUAUAAACAAAAAUAAACGGUUAAGAUUCACACUUUGAUAUAUUACACAUAAGAUUUUUAUUAACAUGUGUGAGAAUAUUGUUCUGUCAAUUAUUCAUUAUGAUUUAGAAAGACAAGUCACAAGCCAACACACAUUUCCAAACAAGCAUUAAAGAUUGAACAAUGAUGGAAAAAAUAAGUCAAAAAAAUCAAAAACCAAGUCCCCAUGGGCAAAAUUCGACCACAAUUUUGUGGUGAGGAGGAAUUGGAUGGAAAUUCAACAACGUUCAAAUUUCAAGGGUGCCGAACCCAUACAUUUUUUGCUUCACCUAUUUUUGAGUCAAAACAAUAGUUUGAGUAGUGGAUAUGAGGUAGACGAGUUGUUAGAUAUAUUAUUCAUGGGUUUGGUAUCAUACCGAGUCCAAGUAAGUAGGAGUCCGAUAAGGUACUAGACUUAGUUUUUCAUGCCAAAAUGUAUUAAAAUAAUAUUUUUUUAUUUUUUUAAAAUUAUUUUUGAAAUUAACGUAUCAAAACAUUUUAAAAUAUACAAAUAUUAAUUAUUUUUAUAAAAAUUUAAAAUUUUAUACAACAUGAUUUAUACUGCAUUUCUAAACGAUGUCUUAGCUUCCUUAUACUUUGCUAAACACCAAGCCUUUAUUAAUCAUGUAUCCAGGGAACUAUCAGAUUUAUUAUUCGUAAACUUGAUUGCACAUCAAGCACAUUUAAACAUGGAUAUGGCGACCUUCUCAAACUGGGCUUGGCUUCAAAUUUCAUUCGAACGGCUGAGAAGCUGAAACAUGAAAAACAACAUUUUGUUGUUGAGUAGCAUCCUGUCGAUCAAUUUUCCCGCAAGAUUAUUAGGCGUAAGAGGCAUCAUCAUCGUGGCAGAGUAGAUACGUGCACCCAUAAUAUAAGCUUGAUCUUGGGAAAUUUUCUUAUUUUUGAAGAUUUUGAUAUCUUAGCAAAUAUAUUUGUUAGCAACAACAAAUUGCUAACGUAAGCAAAAAAAAAAAGAAAAUUUAACAUGUAAAAUAUAAAUUUUACAUCGAAUCAAUGUGAAAAUAUAAUUAUUUGUGAGCAUGGAUUUAUUGAUUAUCAAUGUGAAAAUAUAAAUCUCGCUAACGUAAAAAAAAAGAAUUAAUAUGUAAAAUAUAAGUUAGUCAACAAAAACAAUCCAAUAAAUGAUUGACACACGUCAAUUCAAAAUUUAAAAAUAAAAAAUAAUCUUAAAUAAAAAAAGGAUGAAAAUCAAUUUUUUUAAUGAAAUAAAAAAAUAUUGUUAUCCAUAAAUAUAAUUACCCUUGCGUGAGCACAUGCCCUUUAUGGGGUAUCAGAUUCAGGAAUACAGGGCUUGAAAGCAUUGUAUGAACAGUUUUUGUUCGCCAUUAUCCAACGAUGGGCCUUUUUCUGUUAUUUCUUCGAAAAUGAAGUUUAAUUUUUUAACUUUAUUUUAUUUAUUUAAAUAUGCACACCUUGGAAAAUGACCCUCGCCCAUUUUUAAAACAACCCAGAAUCCAAGAAUUAAUCAAAAUCACCAAAAGAUCAUUCACUCUCUUGUAUGGGUCAUAGUUAUAGAACCGAAUUCUCUUGGGGAGUUGACUCAGGAUUUAAUAUCUAGAUUUAUCCGAGCAAAGAAAAAACUAAGAGAGAAAUUGAUUUGAUCUAAUCUGAUUAAAAACUAAAGUUGAUUUGUGAUCCAAUCAAUCUCGAUAAAACCUAACAAAAAAUAUGUUAGAGUUUUUAUAUAUAUAUAUAUAUAUAUAUAUAUAUAUAUAUAUAUAAAACGAUUAGUAAACCCUCCUAAUUUAAUGAACAAGCCUUAUUUCAAAUCGAUUUCCGGCCUUAUUUCAAAUCGAUUUCCAUAUCAAAUUUUUAAAACUAUAGCAUGGAUGAUCAACCUCGUAAUUAUGGUUUAUUUGUUUCUAUGUUUUAAAAACGUUUUUAAAAAUUUUAAAUUUUUUUUAUUUUUUUCUUUGUUUCAAAUUAAUAUUUUUGUUUUUUUCGGAUCAUUUUGAUCUAUUGUUGUUAAAAAUAAUUUUUAAAAAUAAAAAAUAUAUUAUUUUAAUGCAUUUCUAAGCAAAAUACACUUUAAAAAAUAAUCAUUACCACCCUUUUAAACACCUUUUGAAAAAAAAAAAGAAAAAUAAUUUUGCUUUUUAGUAAAAGAAAUUUGUGUGAACAUGAACCGUCCUUUUCUUAUCAGAGACUCCUGGAAACUGUUAACAUUAGAGCUCCUUUCUUCACCUUCCGAGGGAUAGUUGAUGACUCUACGGAGGACGGUCUUUCGUCUCUCUGAUACAGAGUUUGAAUGGCAUUGGCUAUUGAUGAAUUUCUCGCAUGGAAAAACUUUUGGGCAUUGGCUGUUAGAUUCUGGUGGGUGUUUUGGAUUAGAUCUGAAGUCAUAUUCUCUGAAUUAUAUUCAUUGAGGGCAUGAUAUGGUCCUAGGUCCCUGGCAUGAGCCUAGUGAUAUGCUUAGUUAGCCUUAAUAAAUUUUAAACUAACAAGGGCACAAUGUAAUAACAUCCAAGUUCUUGAACCGAUUUAGUUUAAAAUUUUUGUUGGCUCUGCCUUAACGUUAAGGCUGAAAGAGAAAUCUGGUUACUGAAUAUAGAGAGUGCUUUGAUGCAAAGGUCCGUGCCUAACUCCUCUUCUCUUCCAGAAAUAGAAUUCAUAUGUGUGAGUUAUCCAUCAUCUUUUAUCUGUAUUGAGUCCCUUGCUGCUUAUUGACCGUAUAUUUAGGUAAUCAUACGAGUUUAAUGAUAUAAUUAAUUUAAGAAAGAAGAAGUAUAGCAGAGAAGAAGUCUGUGGUCAGGGAUUAUUCAGUAUUGUUGUUACCUAAUUUUUUAUCCAUCUUUUUAAUAAAAUUUUGGAAAAAAAACUAAAAAUAAGGAAAAACAACAAAAAUCCAAAAAAUAUGUUUUUUAAUAUAUUUGCAUUGUUUUUAGUAUUUUCAGUAUCGUCUCAAAAAAAAUUAAUUUUUCAAAGAACUUUGGAACGCGUUAUUUUUAAAAUCACCGAUUUUUCUCAUUCGAGUCGAUGUUGAUAAGAAAAAUCUAAAUAGAAACGUUCGUGACCCGCAGAUCUAGAUCCAUUUCCAACCGAACUCGCCGACUGGACAACCACACCCAUCUCCUUAACAGCAACGGUCGUGACCCGCCACCGCUAGAUCUGCCACCAGAAGGAGAGGGAAAGAACAACAAACCAAAAAAGACUCGAAAGAAGCAGAUCAGGAGAAGGAGAAGAAAAAAAAGGAUCCGUGAAAAAGGAGAAAGAAAUUAAAAUCAACUGGCUUGUGUGUUUUUCUCCUUUUGCAGGUGAUAGUGAUCAUCACCGCUGGUGACGAAAGGAAAAGGAGAAGAAGCUAAUCUCGACCGCCCUGUUUCCCUGUUGUUCUCGCGGACUGUUCUUGCAGUUCUGAAGGCCUUCCCUGCAAUUCCUAGAGUUUUUUGGGUUUAUUUUGUAAAUUUAAAAAAAUUUAAUGUAGUUUUUGUUUAGUUUUGAAUUUUUAUAAUAUGUAGUGUGCAAAUGUGGAUGUAAAAAAGGAAAACAAAAAAAAAUAUAGUGAAAGUGAAUGUGUUGUUUGUAUUUUUUUUAUGGAUGUUUUUUUAUGAUAAAAUUACAAAGAAUAAAGAAAAAUUUAAUGUUUUGACUUGCUCACGGUAAAGGAUUAUAAACUUACACGUAAGUUGUAUUUCUAAUAUCCGAUGAAAGGAUAAAAUUUUUAAAACUUCUUUAUCAUAUCAAAUCACGAAGCAGCUUACCUCAGGUAGGGUGCGUUAGGGGUGCUAAUACAUUUUCUAGCCACAACCAAUCCCUUACCCUUGAAUCUCUGACGAUGACCAAUGCAUUUGGGUUUCCUAGUAACCUUUACUGAAAUACUAGAUGGCGACUCUCAAAUCAUCAAUCAAACAAAUGAAAAUCGCCAACAGACACCGCGCGGGUCAUUUGCGACAAGUACCGUUCUAUUAAAAAUAACUUUGGCAUUUAUAGCCAUACACUUCAUAACAGAAUUAACAAACAAACAAAUAAGAAGGAGUUCCAGCACUCUCCACGUCUAACAAUUAACCAACUGAUCCAUGUUUUGCAGUUCCCUAAAGUAGUGCAGUCACUACUUGUUCCUGUAGCAUGAUCUCCUGGCCACGUUCUUGUGAUAGUGGAUGUGUCAUUCCCGCCCACUUAAGAAUCCUUGUCCAUAAGGAUAGAAGAAGGAUAAGUCCUAGUGAAACGCCAUUCAUUCUCCACUGAUUCGAGUUGGCCAUUCACAGUGUCCUCACUGCAUAUGUUAGGAGAAUCCCAAAUCAUAAAUAAUUGUGGAUGUUGGCAACGAUUCCUCGAAUAAACUUUUCAUCACAGUAGUAGCACAAACCCUUCUCUCUUUGCUCUCGUGCCUCUUGAUUAGUAAUUUUGCAAAAAGACGCUGGUGGUGCACUGGGACUGGUAUUUAUCCUUGGACCUUGUGGCGGCCCUAACACUCCAGCCGUGGGGUUGGGUGAUGUCUUCGCUAUCACUGAGGUUGGUACUGGGUUUGGUACAGACUGUAUUGGGAGAGGGCCUCUCUUCUUCAAUUGAUUUCUUUCCUCGAUCAAUCUUGCCAUUCCAAUGGUAUCUGCUAAGGUAUGGGGUUGCUUGAUUUUAACAUCCAAACGAAUCUCAUCCUGAAGUCCUGCAAUAAAACAACGAAUCAAAAAAUUUCCCGGCAAACCAUCAACUUGAUGUGGGAGUCUCUCAAAAGUCUCUUAAUAAGCUACCACCGACGUGUUUUGUUUAAGAUGAGUCAAGGCUUCAGACGGGUCCUCAUAGUCGGUUGGACCGAAUCUCUGUUGUAUAGCCUUGAUAAACUCAUCCCAUGUUAGUGGUUCACGAAACUUGGUCAACCACCUAUGCCACUAUAAGGCAAUGCCCUCUAAAUGGAAAGAGGCCAAUUAAACCUGCUGGUUUGGCACAAUAUUUUGAAAUUUAAAAUAUUAUUUUGCCUUGUAAAUCAAUCCAGUUGGAUCACCUGCAUUAAAUUUUGGAAAUGAUAACCUGAGAUUGUGGUGUUGAUGGUUAUUAAUGGGGUUAGGGUGGGUGGUCUGGUGGUGUGAAGACUCUUCAUUAGCAAAGGUGUUAAUUUCAGGAGAACUAGUGUUUAGGUUACGAGUAGUAUGAAGAGCUUGAAGUUCUGUCAAUACCACUUAUAAGGUAGCAUUAAUUUCAUCAAAGCUCGACUCGUGUCUAACUAGGAUUUCAUUGACUUCAUUGUGAAAUUAUGUGUUUGAUUUGCCGCGAGUAUCCAUGGUCUAAACCAAGAAUAACUAGGGUGAACUAGGACCUGUGGGUUAUGGGGAACAGGCUCUGAUACCACUGAUAUAAUUAAUUUAAGAAAGAAGAAGCAUAGCAAAGAAGAUCGAAGUCUGUGGUUAGGGAUUAUUCAGUACCCUUCUAUUAAAAAAAACUUUGACAUUUAUAGUCAUAUACUUCGUAACAGAAUUAACAAACAAAAAGGAAGGAGUUACAACACUCUUCACGUCUAACAAUUAACUAACUUAUCCAUGUUCUGCAGUUCCCUAAAGUAGUGCAGUCACUACUUGUUCCUGUAGCAUGAUCUCCUGGCCACGUUCUUGUGAUAGAGGAUGUAUCAUUUAAGUGCUUCUGGCACCGUGACAGUGUUUGAAAUAUGGAUCAUCUGAUAUUCUUUCCAUUGAAAUACACUAGUGUCCAGGUGAAACACAAAAGGAGCCAUGAUCAGCUAACAAAAUUCAAGCAGUAAAUAGAAAACCCUCCUUAACAAGCACCGUACCAAAUAAUAACCGAUAGUUAUGUGAUGUUGCAGGCCUUUCAGCAGUUCACUGGUAUCAACACAGUCAUGUACUAUAGCCCAACCAUUGUGCAGAUUGCUGGUUUUAGUUCCAACCAGUUAGCACUUCUCCUGUCCCUUGUUAUUGUUGCCAUGAACGCCGCCGGAACAGUUCUUGGCAUUUACCUUAUUGAUCAUUUCGGGAGGAAAAAGUUGGCCAUCUCAAGCUUAGCUGGUGUAAUUGCAUCACUUUUCAAUAUUCUUGCUGGAGCAUUUUUUGGCAAGUCAUCUGGUUCUUCAAAUGAACUCUAUGGGUGGAUUGCAGUUUUGGGGUUAGCGCUGUGCAUUGCUUGCUUCUCACCAGGAAUGGGAC
Molecule: long non-coding RNA, 9457 nt
Filed under: Populus trichocarpa (black cottonwood)
Lineage: Eukaryota; Viridiplantae; Streptophyta; Magnoliopsida; Malpighiales; Salicaceae
Description: long non-coding RNA (PTRI_LNC003766)
Source: RNAcentral